GAUGAACGCUGGCGGUGUGCCUAAUACAUGCAAGUCGAGCGAACAGACGAGGAGCUUACUCCUCUGACGUUAGCGGCGGACGGGUGAGUAACACGUGGAUAACCUACCUAUAAGACUGGGAUAACUUCGGGAAACCGGAGCUAAUACCGGAUAACAUGUUGAACCGUAUGGUUCAACAGUGAAAGACGGUCUUGCUGGCACUUAUAGAUGGAUCCGGGUCGCAUUGGCUAGUUGGUAAGGUAACGGCUUACCAAGGGAACGAUGCGUAGCCGAGCUGAUGGGGUGGUCGCCCACCCUGGAGCUGGGACGCCGUCCAGACUCCUACGGGACGCAGCAGUAGGCAAUCUUCCGCAAUGGUCGGAAGCCUUACGGAGCAACGCCGCGUGAGUUAAGAAGGUCCUCGGAUCGUAAAGCUCUGUUAUUAGUGAAGAACAAAUUUGUAAUUAACUAUGCACGUCUUGACGGUACCGAAUCAGAAAGCCACGGCUAACUACGUG
This 497-nucleotide ribosomal RNA is filed under the name uncultured bacterium. Its description in RNAcentral is "partial 16S ribosomal RNA". It matches the Rfam family "Bacterial small subunit ribosomal RNA", at positions 28 to 507 of the family's 1533-position model. The record is from RNAcentral.